Long non-coding RNA from Peromyscus californicus insignis, 1152 nucleotides. RefSeq lists it as uncharacterized. The transcript is spliced from 2 exons. NCBI's taxonomy places the organism in Eukaryota, Metazoa, Chordata, Mammalia, Rodentia, Cricetidae. The record is from RefSeq and is a predicted model, not a curated record.
AUGAAAAGACAAAACACCUUAACAACAACAAAAAAAUUCUCAGCCGGGUGGUGGUGGCGGCGCACGCCUUUAAUCCCAGCACUUGGGAGGCAGAGGCAGGUGGAUCUCCGUGAGUUUGAGGCCAGCCUGGUCUACAAAGCGAGUUCCAGGAAAGGCACAAAGCUACACAAAGAAACCUUGACUCGAAAACAAACAAACAAACAAAAAAAAACCCAAAAAAUUUUCAAUACGUAUGUGCACCAAAGGACAUUUUCAAACUAUGUUUAAAUUUUUUUACAACUCACAGGUGGGCUGAAGACUUCAAGAAAGGAAACAUAAAUGACCAGUAGAGCUUCCUCUCCUAGACUACACAUGCUUUGAAUCAUCCUUAUUGUGUUCCUACUGACAGGCCCUGGGCCUGGUGGCACUCAGGAGAGAGGCACGGAGGGACUGGACUGUGUUGGGAGUAGAACAAUGGCAUAGUGAUGAAGGAUGAAGAUUCUGGAUCCAAGGCAUUCAAGCUCAACCUCCAGCUUCUGAAUGUGCCUACUCUAAAACAGCAGACAAAGUACUUUAUGUUUCUUUGGCUCCAGUCCGUUAUUCAUAAAAUGAGAAUAUAAACAUGAAUUUCACUGUUAUCAUAGGAUUAUAGUAGUCUCUUCACAUGGGUUUCUUUAAGGAGUAUCUUCAACUCUUGAUUUCAUAUAGAUGUGACAGCACAUAGAUCGUAGAAGACAUUCAAUAGCAGUCACUGAAAGAUAUGCAAAUUAAAGCAUUUUGGCAAACAUAAUUAAACAGGUAGGUAGAACUUGUCCCUUGUAACACAUAUAAAUAUAUUUUAGUUAAAAUAUUUAAUUUAGUGAAGUAUGACUAAUUUUAAUUUUUCAAUUUCAUAAUCAUUCUAGUAGAUGAAGUAAAUGUGAAAAUGUCUGAGAAUGGAUUUAUAUUCUACUACAAAUCAAUAUAUUAGACACUCUUAGAAUAUAAAUUAAGAAAAAGAUGCUUCGGUGGUUAUAAUUUGGGAAGUCACUAGUUUGAACUGAAAAAUCUUUUGAAACAAAUACUUUGCCCCAUAUUUUGGUUCUUUUGUCCUCUGUUUCCUUUUUUGUGCACCUUCCUAAUGUUCCCACGAGCUUUAACUACAGCAGCAAUAAAGUCCGAGUUUAUUCAAGA